This 483-nucleotide ribosomal RNA is filed under the name Triticum aestivum (bread wheat). Its description in RNAcentral is "partial small subunit ribosomal RNA". The record is from RNAcentral. Lineage: Eukaryota; Viridiplantae; Streptophyta; Magnoliopsida; Poales; Poaceae.
AUGAGCAGAGUAAGUGUCAGUCCAAGAGAGAUAGUGCUAACAGACAGCAAGGUCCUCAAGUUCUGGGUUGAGGAUGAGUGCAAAGUCUUUGGGAUCCCUUGCGGUCGUCACAAAAUCAAAGGCAGAGAUGCCAACAUAAACCCUGAAGCAAUUCAGUUCAUAAAGGGUACAGUUGAAAUGAACAAGACGGGGGUUCACAACUUGCGUGCAGCAAAAGAGUUCCUUUUGCGCGACAUCAACGAGAAUUCCAGCCAGCUUGAAAAAGAUUGUUUCCAGAUAGCCUUUGUUAUAUUUUGUCAUGGGCCAUCUGCUUUCUCUGUUAUGUACCAAUUGUUGUCGAACACACGCAGCAGCCUUAUCAAUGCAGCACACUUACAUCGGCAUGACCUACUAUUCUCCGCCUCUGGUUUCCCCUGUAUAAUUCAUUUAAACACACUUGAAGCACCGACGCCCAUGGCUGCUGCUUACCUUCCAAAACAAUAA